RNAcentral lists this ribosomal RNA (702 nucleotides) under uncultured Eubacteriales bacterium. Its description in RNAcentral is "bacterial SSU rRNA". It matches the Rfam family "Bacterial small subunit ribosomal RNA", at positions 63 to 769 of the family's 1533-position model. The record is from RNAcentral. Lineage: Bacteria; Bacillati; Bacillota; Clostridia; Eubacteriales.
CGAACGAUGAAACUUUACUGACUUCUUCGGAAAGAUUAAAGCGGAUUAGUGGCGGACGGGUGAGUAACACGUGAGUAACCUGCCUUACACAAGGGGAUAGCCGUUGGAAACGACGAAUAAUACCCUAUGAAACUAUCACUUCGCAUGAAGCGAUAGUCAAAGUGUUAGCGGUGUAAGAUGGACUUGCGUCUGAUUAGCUAGUUGGUGAGAAAAAAGCCCACCAAGGCAACGAUCAGUAGCCGGCUUGAGAGAGUGUACGGCCACAUUGGGACUGAGACACGGCCCAGACUCCUACGGGAGGCAGCAGUGGGGAAUUUUGCACAAUGGGGGAAACCCUAAUGCAGCGACGCCGCGUGAUUUAGAAGGCCUUCGGGUUGUAAAAAUCUUUUGUAUAGGAAGAAAAUGACAGUACUAUACGAAUAAGGUCCGGCUAAUUACGUGCCAGCGGCCGCGGUAAUACGUAAGGACCGAGCGUUGUCCGGAAUCAUUGGGCGUAAAGGGUACGUAGGCGGGUCACUAAGUUAGAAGUCAAAGGCUAUAGCUCAACUAUAGUAAGCUUCUAAAACUGGAGACCUUGAGUAAUGGAAGGGAAAGUGGAAUUCCUAGUGUAGCGGUGGAAUGCGCAGAUAUUAGGAGGAAUACCGGUGGCGAAGGCGACUUUCUGGCCAUUAACUGACGCUGAGGUACGAAAGCGUGGGUAGC